CCUACGGGAGGCAGCAGUGAGGAAUAUUGGUCAAUGGACGAGAGUCUGAACCAGCCAAGUAGCGUGAAGGAUGACUGCCCUAUGGGUUGUAAACUUCUUUUAUAUGGGAAUAAAAUGUUCCACGUGUGGGAUUUUGUAUGUACCAUAUGAAUAAGGAUCGGCUAACUCCGUGCCAGCAGCCGCGGUAAUACGGAGGAUCCGAGCGUUAUCCGGAUUUAUUGGGUUUAAAGGGAGCGUAGGUGGAUUGUUAAGUCAGUUGUGAAAGUUUGCGGCGCAACCGUAAAAUUGCAGUUGAAACUGGCAGUCUUGAGUACAGUAGAGGUGGGCGGAAUUCGUGGUGUAGCGGUGAAAUGCUUAGAUAUCACGAAGAACUCCGAGUGCGAAGGCAGUUCACUGGACUGCAACUGACACUGAGGCUCGAAAGUGUGGGUAUCAAACAGGAUUAGAUACCCUUGUAGUC
This 460-nucleotide ribosomal RNA is filed under the name uncultured bacterium. RNAcentral describes it as "partial 16S ribosomal RNA". It matches the Rfam family "Bacterial small subunit ribosomal RNA", at positions 338 to 795 of the family's 1533-position model. The record is from RNAcentral.